GUUCAGCUCAAGCAGAAAGCUAAUUCACUGUUCUCUGCCUCUUUGUUUCAUUCAAGCCCUCAAGGGAUGGUAUAAUGCCUACCCAAAUGGGUGAGAGCGUCUUUUUUACUCAGUCUACCAAUUCAGAUACAAGUCUCUUCUGUAAACACCUUCACAGACAUACCCAGAAAUAAUGUUUUACCAGAUAUUUGGGCAUCCUUUAGCCCAGUCAAACUGACACAUAAAAUUAACUGUCAUAGAAGGACUACCUCGUUAGCAACUAAGAACAAUGGGACUUAGAACAAAGACCUCAUCAGGUAUUAAAUUGGAAGAAGAUACAUUAAUGAAAAGAAAUGUUAUGGUACUGUUGAAGAUGGAGGCAGCAAGACCCUCCGAGGCUAUAGAAAAAAUAGCGUAAUAAACCCAGAAAGGCUCUUCAAGAUAUCUAUGUUAGUGUUCUACCUAACACAGCAAUAAUUUCUUUGCAAAGCCCCUGGCAGAUUAUUUAGUUUUGCUUGGAUCCUUAAGGUGAUGAAGUGUUCCCUUUUUAGCAAGGUAAAUGAAUCUGUUUUUGGACAGAUGUAACUCUUAGAAAUUUCUUCCUUGUACUGCUAAAGCAAGGUCUGUUUCCCUGUAGCUUCCAUAUGGUUUCCUUAAGUGAUAAACAGACUGACUGUAAUAUAUCUUUCCUAUGACAGCCCUCCAAAUAUCUGAAGUAUGUCCCUCCUGUUUUCUUUUUUUAAGUUAAGCAUCCCAGAUACUUCAAUUUAUAUCUCCUCACAAGAUUGCCAGACCUCUUAAUAUUUUGGCUGCCCAAUCAGAAUAAAGUUGUUGAACUCUAGUUUGCCAGUGUCAAUUUUAAAAAGUAAUGUCCAGAAGGAAUUUUGUAUUUUGCAUGUAGUCUGACUGGAACAGAUAAGAGACAGUGAAAUUAAUUUUGUUAGAUAUUUUACACUUGUUAAUUGGACUCUUGGCCUAAACUGAACUGUAAUGAAUGUACCUGUCUGGUAUUUAUCUAAAUUGCCAUCAAACCAGGUUUAGUCUAUUCUGUAGCUGAAAAAAUUAAUUUUAUUUGAUAAAUUUUACCUUGUUCGUUUUGAUCCAUUCAUUCAUUUAUUCAUUCAUUGUUUCAACAAAUACUUUUUGAGGUCAGCAUUGUGGCAGUCUUCGUUAUGCCCUGAGAUUACCAGAAAGUACAGGUUAUUCCAAUUAGUUGAACAACUUGAGAUCAUUUUAAAAUGUAAAUCUAAUAUUCAACAUUGUUAUUUUUACAUCACCUGUCAUCUAUAAAUUUCAUAAACAUGAUUGUAUCUUUAUUCAGUUAAUAACAAGAUUAAAAAAUCAAGGACAUAUUGUGAUAAGCUGGUGAUUUUGAAUCAUCAGGAUUCUAGAUUUAAAAGUUUUUGGAGACAGAACAUUUAACGGUGUGAUUUAUUUAUUUUAUAGAAGAGAGUUAAUAUAUAACUUAGAGUUUGAUUGUCUUAAAUACCGUAUUUCUCUUUUUGUCCCAGGGGAAGAUCACAGAAUGCUGCCUUGCUUGUGGAAUUAUAGAAUUCAAAUCUAUCAGUUUUAUAGGGAGUAAUUUUUCAAGACUUACUCUUAAGGAAUUCAUACUGAUUCCUAAUAAUCAUCAUUUUCUUAAUCUAAAUCCUACAAAGCCAUUCAUUUAAUCAUUUGUUUUAGAAUGUUUCCUGCUUUCCUGUAUGUUUCUUUUUCUUCUUACUUUAAAGCAAGGUUUAAACAUCCCUUUUGAUAUUUUUAGGUUUUGUCGGGGUGUAGGGAGCAAGGUUAUUCUCACUGUGACCUUUGCCCUGCAGCAGUAAAGCAAUAACUAGCAUCAUUUCUGCUUUGUAUUGUUUUAUCAUUUCUACAUCAUGUUUGUAGGCUGACGAAUGAAGUCAAAUGCUUAUAAAUGCUUUGUAAACUAUAAAAUUCUCCAUUUAUAUAUAUUUCUGCCCCACUUAUUUCUCAUUAAUGUUACUUGUGAUUAUAUUGUCAGAAUUCCUUAGAGCCACAUUUUUGUGAAUAUUGUGCUGCAAAUAUAUUUAUUUGUUUGUAAGCACUAAGUAUUCUUUUGUUCCCAAGAAAACAAAUUCUAUAUGAGUCUUUUCUGGUUCUGUUUUUCUUUUGUUUCAAUCUCUUCACAAUAUUGUAUUUAGAGCCAGAUUUAUCAGCCCCAGGCAUCUCUUGCUUUCCUGUGUCUACUUCUUCACAGUAUAACUCUCAGGCAAAAUGACAAAAAGGCAAAUUCACAAAGGAACCAGUGAGUGUUCUUGUCAGUGCUUGGGUUCCAUUCUCAAAUAAGCUGAAAGUUCUUCUAUUUCAUCAACAGAAUGUGAUUUAAAGGGAUAUAUUGCCAGCUUGUAUCACUGCUAAACAGUGGUGUGUCACUGUAGAGCAAAUAGUCACAAGAAUACAUUCUCAGGAAAUAUACAGUUAUAUCUAUGCUUUCUGCCAAGCAAGGAGAAACGCAGACUGGCUCAAAUCUCCAGAAACGACUUGCAUCCUUCUUUAUUUCUUACACCUUUUCUUUUCUUCAUCUCCUAUUUCUUCUUUCCCCAUGUCCUCCUCCUGCUUUCACAAUUUCCUUCUCCUCCUUAUUCUCCUUCUCUUUCACCUCCCCGUCUUCUUCCUUACGCGUUGAUUAUGCCAGUAAGAUGAUAUCUUGUAAAGAAAUGGAAUACUUUUAGCAGAUGCCACACUAUAGCCACAGUAGUGACAUCUGGAAUUUGUCAAAAGCCACAGUUGGCAUCCCUAAAAUUCACCUGCCUGGAUUCUGUUCUGAGAAGAUUGUGUCUGCAAGAAAGUCUGGCCAAGUUCCUAAAAGAGGCAAAAUCAAGGAUAGAUGGCAUCUAUCCUAGUUCACGUGAAGGUUAAAAGCGUCUUCAGGUACUUAGAUACAUAGAUAUACAGGCUCUGUUAUUACAAACUUUCAAGGCAAUUCUUAUGUUCUUAUGUAUUUAUUUGCUUUUUGAAUCACAAAAUUUAUGCUUAUAUUUUAAGCAGAUGGAGUUUGUUUAUGAAGAAGUGAUUAUUGCUGAUACUCAUUAUUACACAUCAGAGUAGUUAUAUUUCUAUGUAAUUUUUUGCAUGGAGUAGGCAUUUGUGGUCUUGCUCUACAUCUGUUUGAUCAUAGCAAUUCCAGUUGAUUUCACAGGGUCAGCAAAUACACAGCACAUAAGCUAACACUCUUCCUUCUUGUACCCACAGUAGACCACUAAUCAAUUAUGGCGUUUGUCUUGCUAAGCCAGGAAACAGCUUCAGAAUCCUUCUCAAACAAUGUUUCAGACAGCUGCUAUUAAUAUGUCAGAGUUGGCACUUGAUGAGAAAUACAGUUGCCAUUCCAGAUUAAGGCCAACACCCCCCACCGCCCCAAAAAACAGCCUCAUAAAAAGACCUCUGAGCAGUGGCAUCAGAAAUCUAAGGGUCACUGAUGGAGUAUGACAGGAAUCUAAGACAGAGAGAGAUCCUAAUUUCCCAGGAGCCAGUAAUGCAGAGUGGAUAAUUCUGGUUUGGACUUAAGGUAGAUGUAGGAUGGAAGUAAAAAAGAAAACAUACAUUGGGACUGGGUCCUUAGAUCUAUAAAUUGUUUAUUUGGGUAGCCAUUACUCAGAUUUCUCUCAUUCUAUAGAGUGGUUUUUUAGAGUUUCACAGUGGUACCUAAUUGUGACAAUACGGGUCUUUCCUAUGAUUAGUGACCCAAUAGAAUAGUGAAAAGGAAAGUAUUUGUUUUUGUACAACAUAGAGGCAUGAGUGCCUUCUUUUAACCCAUUGAUUCCCACACUUUGAUCUUGAGAAACUUACUGUCUUAAACCUUCUGAAGACCUCCCAAAGGGCUUUUGUUUAUAUGGCUAUAACUUUCAAGAUUUAUCAUAUUUAAAUUAAAAUGGAAAAAUGUUAAAAUAGUUAUUGAAAAUGAAAAUAGUAAAUGCCUGUUUACUUAAAUAAUAUUUAAUCUCACAGAUCCCCUGAAAGAUUUUGGAGAAUUUCCUGAUUGGCACUUUGAAAACUGCUGCUGUAACCAAUUCUGUGAUGACUGCUGACUUGAUGUAAGGUGAAUGCAGAAAGUCUCCUGCUAGGACUCUCCCUGGCAUUGCCUCAUUCACAAAAAAUUUCAGACACUAUAUAUAUCAAUUCAGAUAAUUCAUUCAGUUAAAUGUUUAUUAAAUAUAUUUUCAAAUUGUUUAUUGAUAUAUAAUUAUUCUAUCAAGGACACAUAUAAAAUAAUUAGGUAUAGAAAAAUAUAAGAAAGAAAAGGAAAUCAAGAUUAGGAAAAAAUAACAAUGCAGAUAUUCAGACCAUAUAGUACUAUAAAGUUGGCUCAUUAUUUUGCUAAUGUGUUUACUGAGCACCUGUUCUAGACAUAGGAAAUGCAUGGAUGACUACAAUUGCCCCAGUUGUUAUCUCAUUGAGGUUACAUUAUAUUGUACUUGUAAAAUAUGCACCCCCACUCAUGGCUUUAGGCAAUACAAAUGAACAAAAACAAAAACCAGCCAAACAAAUAUAUCAGUUAAAAGAUCAUUGACCAAAAUGUUAAAUGGAGUACUCUGAGGAAGCAAAGAGUUUUGGAGAUAUGCAAAAUAAUUUUCUUAUAGUACAUUUCCUAAUUGACUUUAUAAAGCUGUUUCUUAUAGUCUUCAUUAAUGAAAGUUAAAGAGGCAUGAGAACAAAGUGCUGCUGAGAAUAUUAUAUCAGUUAACUUUUGCGAAAACAAAAGUAUAAUCCAUUUGUUGCCAAUAUUAUCAGACUGUGAUUCUAAAGUGAAACUACCUUUCUUUUUUACGUCCAUGUUUUCAUAGUAUAAGCCCCUCCUGGUCCAUUAAAAAUGUAGUACUGCCAACCUAAAGUUAGUACCAGGGCUUCACCUUAUACCAAGAGAGCUGAGAAAUGUUGGGGAGCACAGAUCAUUUGAUGCAUAGUGAAUACCUGAUAUAGCUGGUAGUUUGAAGUAGUAGCUCCUUAGAUGAUUUUUUUUUCCAGAAGGGGUAAGAAUGUUAUGUGUUAUAGAUGGAAUUCUGUCCUUCCAAAUGUAUAUGCUGAAGUCCUAACUCCCUGUACCUUAAAAUGUGACUGUAUUUGUAGAUAGCGUUUUUAAACAGUAAGUAGGUUAAAAUGAGGUCAUUAGGGUACUCUAAUCCAAUAUGCCUGUUGUCCUUAUAAAAAGGUGUGCUUAAGACACAGACACCUACAGAAGGAAGACCAUGUGAAAAUACAGGGAGAAGAAAGCUAUCUGUAAGCCAAGAAGUGAGUAAGGCCUCAGAAGAAAGCAAAGCCUGCCAACACCUGGAUCUUGGAUUCUGGCCUCCAGAAUCAUAAGAAAAUACGUUUCUGUUGUUUAAGCUACUUGGUCUGUGGUACUUGGUUACAGUAGCCCUAGCAAACUCAUAUGAUUCUGUGAUGAGGGGAAAGAACUGUUGAAAGCAUUUAGUUAUAAAUAAUGAAUCAGGAAACAAAGGGCCAAUAAUGACAUAAUGAACUCCUUAAGGCCUAAACUAAACCUGUGUGCCAGAGGCUAAAUUCUGUGCAUGAUCAUUUCUGGAACAGAAAUGUUAGGUGAAUAAGUGCUGUACCAGCUGCUUUAUGGGUAGUCUCCUUGACUACUAGAAAUAGAAUAAAGAAAGCAAGGUGGAACAUCUGGCAACGUUAAGUGUCAAAAAUCCAUUUUCAAAGCCUUUUGUCAUGGGGGUUCAAGGGAGUAAAUAAAAGCGUUCUUCUAAGUCCUGGUAUGAUUCUAUAUGUUAAGCAGAAGUUGUGAUUUAUGAAGAAGAAGAAGACUUGAAUCGACUAGGUAAACUAAACAGAAUCUUGCUCACAGUCAGUGUUUAUUAGAAGUUUGUCUUAUCAGUUGUAAUUGGAGAGGGAAUUUUAAAAAAUUUUGCUUUUAAUCUUUACUCUGAACCAGGCCAUCUCUGUAAUUUAUAAUCUCAUCAUUUAGGGGGUAAGUGGUUACUGUAUUUUUGUUGUAUCUUCCUUGUGGGACACUUUUCAUCAUUUUUAUUAGCAUUUUAUGACUCCAUAGCAUGUAUUAAGUUAGUAUGAGAAAUUUACAUUAUACAUUAUUUUAGGGUCUACAAUAUGAGAUCCAAGGCAAUUUUGAGAAAAAGUAAAAGUAUUAAAAAUGAUCUGAAGUUUUUUGGUCACGUGAAAGUCAUAAGAGAUGCUUAGUGGAUAAGAGCAAAGGUGUAGACAGUCUAAUAUCUGUGGAUGUAGCCCUCAAGAAAUUUGCAGACUGUGUGACUUCUACAGUAUUGUGUAGAAUUUGGGGCUUUAGAGAUCAUGUAUUCAGCUCUUUCUCUUACAUAUGAGGAACUGGAGGAGCUCAGAAAAAGUCCAUUAUCUUGUCCAGCACCAUACUUUGGGUUAGUGAAACAGGAAGCGAGCCCACAUCUUCUGACCCCUAUUCAGAACAGAAGUCUUUAAGACUAUGUCAUAAUAUUAAUUUCAGAUCUCUCUAAAUUUCUCCAAUAGUCCACUGGAGGUCUGUCAUUUUAUAAUUAUCUAUAGCCUUGUUUUUCAAGAACAUUUGCAGGGUUACGGGUUCAAUUAAUUAACCCAUCAGUACACAAUAUUUGCAUGUGUUAUUUUGUCCUAAAGCAACCUCUUUAAAAUUUCCAGCUUACUUCUGGUUUCAGUGUUUUGGGAUUUAGUAAAUUAUUGUGCAAUAUAUUUAUACUCUUUAUAAGAUUGCUUCUCUUGGUUUCAAUGGGUUUAUCAGAAAAUGUUGCUAUAAUUGAUCUCUAAGGUCCAACCCUAGAAUUCUAUUAAUCUAUAUACAAUUUCUAUUUAUUCUGUGGUUAAACUCUCCCUGGUAUUAGUAUGUUAUUGUGUUUCUUUCAUUGGAGGAUAAAAGCUUUCUUUGUGUUUACUAAAAUAACUUUAGACAUGAAUGGCUAGAAAUAUUUUUGGCAAGCUUCUGCUUCAUCCCUGAGUUAAACUGGGGUUUAAGACUGACCAGGAGAGUAACACCAUUAUAGUCUUUUAGAAUGCCAAGAAGUCUGGAUUAAAAGUAAGUUCCCUGAGCUAACUGCUGUCUUUCGUGUUCCUUAGUGUAGGUCUCUCUUUCUGAUCUCCCCGUCCUUGGAUUCUCAAGUGCUAGAAAUGCAGAACCAUUGCUCAUUCUACCUUCUCCCACACCCAACCCCCCACUUGCCUGUACUUAUUGAACUGCCCUGGGGCAGGUAAGCUAUGGCCUCAUUCUCCAAAGUUCCUAGGGCCUUAAAGUCCUCUGUUGUCCAGAGCUCCUAGACAUGUCAUUUUAGUGGUACAGGUACCAGAUAGAUGCUCAAAGACUUCUUAGGUUGUGGUCUUGGGCCUGCACUGAUGGGCUAUGAACAUAAAUUAUAUCAACUGUAGGGCAUGGGGUGGGAGUCAGUGCUACAGGAACUAUGGGCCCUGGUUUUUCUAAUGUGUCAGUGUCAGUGUGAGGGUGACUAUACCGAUGAUGAGGGUGAAGAGAACCAAAUAGUAAACACUACUGGGGAAAACUUGAAAUCUGUGCUGAUGAAUAUAAAACAAGGAGAGGAAAAUCAAGGUUUAAUUUGGCUAUGCAAAAAAUACCAAUUACUUUUGUGACCUAAUUUUAAUUUAGAUUUAUUUAUUGAGCAGCAAAAUAAUAAUUGUGUAUAUAGCUAAAUAUGUCACAUACAUUCUAUUAUAAGUUUUAUUGAUUCCAUUAUUCAAUUUUACUCUUGUACACUCAUUCCCAUAGUUGUGCAAUGGGAUUGUUUCAGAUCUUAACAAAAAAUUAAAUUACAUCCUAAGUUAAUGGUGAGCUUAAAGGAUUUGUGUGAAUGUUAAUGAAUGCCCACCUAGGAACUGUCAGGUACAUACAGGCAGAUUUUGUGAAGCAUUUUGGAAUGGGGGACUUAAAUCAAACAUUAUUCUUUGAACAAUUUUUUUAUAAUACCAUUUCUUGUUUGUUCCUACAUGUUCAUUGAUAAAAUAAUGAAAAAAAAGAGUAGUUCUUUAUGCAUAAUUACAAGAUAGAAAGAUAAGCAACAGUACCAUUUUGGUGUAAAGUUUAUGAUUAUACACACACACACACAUUUUUUGGGGGAGCAAAAUUGCUCUCAACAUUCUACUUCUUUUGUUUUUACUUUAAAGUAUUAGCUUUCCUGGGUUAAUGACGGUAUUGCCAUAACUGACUUCAUUCACCCCCAGUUCUAUGAAUCCUUAUUUCAUUUUCACUUAUUUUUGUACACCAAUAUAAAAAUUAUUUUUAA
Molecule: long non-coding RNA, 8201 nt
Filed under: Homo sapiens (human)
Lineage: Eukaryota; Metazoa; Chordata; Mammalia; Primates; Hominidae
Description: HSALNT0335722
Source: RNAcentral